CAGCUCCUCUUCCUUGAGGAGAAACCUGAGCCGGACCGAUGAAGAGAUCGGUGAGGAGGAGAAAGAUCUCCAGCAGAGCAUCGUUGCCGAUGGAGACGGCGAAACCAGACUUUCAGAGACCACAGCGUAGAUCCGAACCAUCAACACACACACACUAGAUCAUGCCUUUGGGUGAAAUCUUCACCCCUUCGGACUUUCACUCCGUGACCUAGAUGGUUUUUACUCAGUCUGUUCCAUACAUAGCCAAAAGAGAACGGUAGAGUUAUUAUUAUUAUUAUUAUUACUGUUAUUUAAGUUAUAGGAGUUUUAAAUUAAGGAUCAUGGGUAAAAACGUAGAAGGAAGAGCGACGUCUGCAAGCAUCCUCCUCUCCACGAUGGACUUCUCUUCACUCUAAAUCCUAACUCGCAUCCAUCACCCUGACCGUUCCCUCAAUCAGGGUUGUUCAGCUAGCCGCCAUAAAACUACAGCUCAGGCAGAUAAAUUAUGAAGAAGUAAAAGAGAUCUAUAAAAUCUCAGCUUUGCGAUACGAAGUUCUCUAUAGGAAACGCUUGCAAUCAUCAGCCUCCAACAGGGCAAAACGCUCCAUUUUAUUCUUGUGAGGAAAGAAAUCUUUAGCAUUUUUGUUGAUUUUUGUUUUUUUUUUUUUUAAAAAAAAAAAAAAGAAUUUUGCUUCUGAUCAGCCAGCUGCUGCAGUGUGGAGGUUGUGAAUUUUGCCUUUAAUCUUUUUCACUUAUCAAGCCUUGCUCUGAAAUCUUAUAUAGUCGUGUAUCUCUCUCAUCUCGGUCAAUAUUGCUUUUCAUCUUUUUCUUUUCUUUUUCGCCGGGGAUUAUUACGACGCCUAAGGACGAUGUGACGGUUACGUUCGGGAUUAUGUAAUGCCUACACAUGCACUCGGCAGGAAGAUCCUCCGAAGCAAAAUAUCCGGAAAUUUGUUCGAAAUACAGUUUCAAAUGGAAUUAAUACAUCUUUUUGGCCCUACUUAAGAUCAGUCAACUUUUUCAAUAAGGAUCCGUUCUUAUCAACACUGUAAAUCUGCCAAAUAUUAACGACGGCGUCGGAGAGACCUCAGAAGCGCAUGUGUGAAGGCACACCGUGGUUAUGCGCACAAAUUAGCGGUAAUUUUGCGUGCUCGGGCGUGAAAUGGGGAAGAAUAUAACGUGUCGAGCGGACAAGCUGUUAGCGCAGCUUCGUUUCCCUCGUCCGUGUUUUCUAUGCAUCAGAACUUUUUAUUGCAGAAACGUGUAAAAUGACACCGCGUCCGCUCCUGUUGUGGCUUGUGCGAUAAACGAGAAGGGAUUAUAGAAUAUAUUUAAUACGUCUUUGAGAAGGCUCAUCUGCAUAGCGUCAAAUGAUAUUCGGGGUAGUUUUAUUGUAAAUAAAUAUUUGCGAUUGUCUACAUCGUCUUGUUGUCAAAUGACUAAGUUUCUUUUUUCAGCGUGACGGAAGGAAACUAUCAAAGAGAAAUUAGUAAGCGAGUAAAGCCUGUGGGGUUUCACACGGUUUCGAACACGGCCUUGUCCAACACCCCUUGCCGGUAUCCUUCGGUUCAAUCCACAUUGCUUUCUUCAGGGCCAGUUAAAUACUUUAUUAGCUGUGAACUUUCUUAGAUGACCCACUGGAAGCCGGAGGGAGGACGUGAACACGGCUGUAGGUCUCAGCAGCAGAACUUACCUUACCCAGAAUGCACUUCAGCCUGAUGCUAUAUUAUUAGCUUUUAGAUGUUAAUUUAUUAAUGAAUAAUACUUUAUUCUCGUCAUACGUUUCGGUAGUUACAUUCAGCGUCGCAGAAUGUCUGUACAACAAGUUAAAUCAGUGUUAAAGCUAUAAACAGUCCCUCAGAAUCCUCCCCAGCCCCAGAGGGAGGGGGGAGGGGAGAGAAAAGCAAGAUUUCAGCUACACUAGUGCUCUUUAGUUCAAAAGCAUGGCUACUGAAUAAAUAAAUAAUAAUAAUAAAAAAAAAAGUAAAUAGAUGCAAGCAAUUAGGAAUGUGUAUCUACAAGAGAAUAUAAUGGAAUUCACCUAGUUUGCAUUUCAAAGAGAUUACACAAUUUCUACCAAGAGUAACAGUAAAAAGGGUUUAAAGAUGUCUGGCAUUUAAUCCGCACCAGACCUCAACCUCCCCUCCUAAUGGAUUGCAUGGCUCGAGUGGCAUGCAGCUUAUUUCCUGCUUUCUGCAGGUCGUCUUAAAAGCCUGCUCCCUUUUCAUUACACGGCCUCCAAAAACAUUUGCCUGUUGGGAAAAGGAAGCACCUACUACGGGGGGGAGGAGGGAAAAAAAAAAAAAAAACACGUCUGCUUUGUGAUUCUUAAAGUCACGUUUUCUAAGCAUUUACUUAGUCAUAUAUACUCACUGGGACUUUACGACGAACACCUGGUCGGACACAGUUAUCCAAUCAGCAAAUUAUCACACAAACAGUCGUGCGAUGUAGCGUAAAAGAAAUCGUUCCUGUGCGUCCGUCCCCACCGUGGCCUCGGAUUCCUGUUCUUAGCUGACGGGACGGGAACCUGCUGUUGAAGUCCAUCUGCCUGAAUAUUUGACGUGUUGUGCUUUCUGACAUGCUUUUCAGCUCACCACGGUUGUACAGAGUGGUCAUCGGAGUUACCGCAGGACUUUUUUUUUUUUUUUUUUGCAGCAUUCGGUGUAGACUCUAGACACUUUCUGAAAUAGGUGAACCAGCCCAUUUGGCACCGACAACCGUGCCACGGGACGUCAGAGUCACCGAGAUCACGUCUUGUCCCUCAUUCCGACGUGAACAUUAACUGAAGCGCUUGUCCUGUAUCUGCAUGAUGUUCUGUAUUGUUCCGAACGAGUAGGUGUAACAGUUCUUCCUAAUAAAGCCUAAUCGUUUUCU
Long non-coding RNA from Ictalurus punctatus (channel catfish), 2853 nucleotides. NCBI's taxonomy places the organism in Eukaryota, Metazoa, Chordata, Actinopteri, Siluriformes, Ictaluridae. The record is from Ensembl.